This 73-nucleotide transfer RNA is filed under the name Ankistrodesmus falcatus. RNAcentral's name for it is "tRNA-Val". It matches the Rfam family "tRNA". Rfam says of the family: Transfer RNA (tRNA) molecules are approximately 80 nucleotides in length. Lineage: Eukaryota; Viridiplantae; Chlorophyta; Chlorophyceae; Sphaeropleales; Selenastraceae. The record is from RNAcentral.
GGUUAAUAACUCAGCCCGGUAGAGUGCCAUCCUUACAAGCUGGAGGCCGUAGGUUCGAAUCCUGCUUAACCCA